RNAcentral lists this transfer RNA (71 nucleotides) under Cheilopogon unicolor (limpid-wing flyingfish). RNAcentral's name for it is "tRNA-Pro". RNAcentral also lists the same sequence under 1 other name. Lineage: Eukaryota; Metazoa; Chordata; Actinopteri; Beloniformes; Exocoetidae. The record is from RNAcentral.
UCAAAGAAAGGGGAGUUUAACCCCUACCCCUAACUCCCAAAGCUAGGAUUCUAAAUUAAACUAUUCUCUGC